Molecule: non-coding RNA, 4253 nt
Organism: Pantherophis guttatus
Lineage: Eukaryota; Metazoa; Chordata; Lepidosauria; Squamata; Colubridae
Source: RefSeq, a predicted model, not a curated record
GAAAUAUGAGAAGCAUAUUUUACAGACAAAGCAGCUCCCAUCUUCCUGCCCCCCCACCCUUUGUCAAUGGGCCAUUAAGGCUUGGGCCAGUCUAUUCUACAUAACAAAGAUCUACCUCCUUCAGGCAGAGCCAUAGUAGGAAUUGCGAAAGAUAGGAUUAGCCCUCUACACAAUAGCAACAGAAACUAACACAAUGGGACCCAUCUAGACGAGGCUCACCACAUGGCACCUGGGAAGAUUGCAUCAGCCAGCAAGACCCCCACCCCCUGGGAGUCUGACAACCAAUCAGGAUACUCUUUCGUGGCCCCAAGAAAUGCAGAGCCAGCAAGAGCAUAAAAACCCGAAGAUUUACUGUAUCGCCCCUUUUCUGUUCAGGAACUCAAGCCAUGUGAUCCUGUCCACCAUUAAACCAUCUUUCCAAGCAGUCUCCAUGUUUCCAGUGUCUGUUCUCCCCACUUGGAGCAGAACCCAGAAGGAUGUUUCUUCCAACAAUUGGCGACCCAGAUGGGACUCCAAGCUAACCUAACCAAUGGACCAGGCCCAGGUAAGCCUCCCUUGCUAGCAGCAGACCCAUUGAGUCUGUGGGCAUGUUUUCAUGGACCUUGGCCAUUUGGAACUAGGUUUUAAAGGGGUUUUGAGUUUGAGCUCAAAGGCUGCUUGGAAAGAAGGUGAGUACCUCUAAAUUUUAAUUUUGAAGUAUGGAAAAGCAUGGGAAAUUUGUGUAUGCCUGCAUGUGUGUGAGUGAAGGCCCUUCUCCCAAGUACAGCUGGAUCUUGCUUCCUCUGUGCAUUUCCUAGCCGCAGAAAGACUAACGGUCUGGAGAGCAUGGGGGUUUUGCCAGAGCACAGGACCUUCUGUUAGGGAAGGAGGAAGUGUGUGUGUGGGAUUCCACCUGGAAAACAGUCUGAUUUCACCUCUUUGCGUGACCUCUAGCCGCACCUCUGCCUACUGCUAGCUCCACCGAGCCAUGACCGGUAGGAUAGAGAAAGCAAGGGGGGGUCACCAAAUGUGGAACUUUGUGUUUAAAAGGAAUGGAAGCCAAGCGAAAGCCAAGCGUGUGAAAAAGGGGGGAUUAAUAAAUUGUGAAAGGGAAACCCGGUUUUGUCCAGCCCAGACACGGGGCGAGCGUGUGUGUGUGUAAGAGGAGGUGCCCACACCUGGCUGCAGGGGUCAGCAGGUCCUCGCGGAUCCCCUUUUUGGAUCCGAAAAGUUGUGGUGAUUCCCUGGAGGAAGGGGCCCAUACUUCGCAAGGGAAUCGAAGUCCUUCCCAGAGCUUUUUCCUCUGAAAACUGAGAGCGUGCCACCCGGCUAAGUCGAAGUGAUCCUUCCGGAGAAAAGGAAAGGGUCAUGGGUAGCGAUAGUUCGCGGGUGGCGGGGACCCCAGUAGAUGAAGUGCUCGCGGCCUGGGACGCCAGGCGGGUGCCCAUAUUGAGGGGCAUGGAUAAAAGGAAAUUAGGAAAAUUGUGUCAAAAAUGGGCUUUGCUAAGAGAUAACACCGGGAGACAAAUUUGGCUAAAUAAAGGUACUUAAAAGAAAAGGGAAAUAUAUAAAUAGGAAUGUUGGGGAUUUUGUUUGUUUUGUUUGUUUGUUUGUCUCUCUGUCUUCUAUGCAACCACGUGGUAUGUUUAAGAUUUGUGCCUUCCCUAAUUUAACUGAGAUUUAUGUGGGAAUGAUCAGUGUGUGUGAAAUCUCAGAGUUCUGUUUUCUUCUCUUUGUCUUCCUUGUUUUAUGUGUGUGUGUCUAAGUCUUUGUGCGCCCUCGAGGUAAUUGUAACUGUAAAAUGUAUCUGAUCUCUAGAGACAAGAAUUUUAAAUUGUUAGAAAAAAAAAAGGUUGAAACAAUGAAAAAUGGGAGAGAGAGAAAAAAGAAAGAAAGAGCCUUUGCCCUGUGUUUGUCUGGCCAACAAACACAGAUUAAAGAGAGCAUUUCAUUUCAUUUCUGUUUUUUUUCUCCUCUCUCUGUAUCUUAAAGUAACAACUCAAGUUUAUGAGGAAACGUUUUAAGUUUGUUUACAAGAAAAAAAUCAGUCUUGCAUUUACUGUAUGUGUUUAAAUGGGUUUACCUGUUCAUCUCUUUCCUGAAGCAUGUGAAUCCAGUUUUUUUCUUAUCUGUUGUGUCUCCAUUUUGUUGAAACUGCAUUAUCUGUUUAGUAACUGCAAUAUUGUUGUGUUGUUUCUUUUCAAACUCUGCCUGCAAGCUAUCUACCCCCCCAUCUCUAAUCCUGUUACAUUGCCUUUCCUGGGAAGAUUACCCACAAAAGGUGGGAGGGGACCCUGUUCUAAUGUCUUUCAGCCCUGCACAAAGGACUCUGCAACCUGUGGAAGCAGAGCACAUGGAUCCAGAUGCUGCCUCCAAAGGAGACCCUCCAUCUGUUUGAACCAGGAAUUGGGUUUGAAUCCAGCCUCCACUGAAAGUCAGCACAGCAACCAGAGUGGAGCAGACCUUUCCAAGCCUGACUGACCAGCCUUACCACCAAGCAUGCUACCCAGCAGACAUGAAAGAAAAGACCCUGAGAUGUACAAGUAAAGACCAAAAGAUUCUUUUCAAUUCCCAGAAGACAGCUGGAAAGACUAUGGGGGAGGGUGGAAAUUCAUUGUAAGGUUUUCUUUCUUGUCUCAUUUAUAUUGUAAUCAGUUUAUUGUAAAAAUUGUAUUUGGGAGUGAUUGCCACAGCAAGUUAUGUACACUCUAGAUUUCUGUCUGGUGGAGAGGAGAAAUAUGUCCAAAAUGUUUGUAUUGCCUGUAUUGUAAAAGUAGCUGCAUACACAUGCACACACAGAGAGACACACAUUAUUCAGAAUUAGACUGCAACUAUUCCCUUCACUUACCUCCACACAAAGCUUCUCCUAGGUUGAUUUUUGCUCUGUGGCACUAAAAGCCCAAGGAGUCUUAUCUCCCUGCUAAUUUGAUGGGAAGGAAGCAAUACCCCUCAGGCAAUUCCCUCACUUGAAGAGAUAGCAGAAAAGUGAUCUCCAAAACCCAAGCCCUGACUGUGACUCAAAUGAUGCUGCCCAGUUGCCCAGUAAAGGAAGAUAUAUUGCACUGGUGGUCUCAUGAGUAGAAAUCCCAGGGCUCAUUAUGUGUAACAAAAAAAAAAAAAAAAAAAAAAAAAAAAAAAGAAUGGAUAUUGUACACUGGCUAACCUCAAUUUGGACUCACAAAUCCUGGAUGCACUAAACUAAGAGCUAGGACAGGUUCAGUAACCAACCCUUGGAAAUGGGCAGCCUGCAAUUUAAAGGAAAAUCAUGGCUGUGAAAAAUUUUGGGACAUGUGUUUGCUUGAAACCUGACUGGAAGCUCACAGAAAGUAAUAUCUGAAGUCUGAAAUUAAUUGGCAUGGAAAAUUGGAUACUGUAAAAUUCUUACCAGAAAUUUUUUCCUGGCUGCUAGACCUUCAUGGUUGAAAGCUUUUGGAAGUCACUGAAGGAAUCCUUUUCUGUUGCCUCUAUCAAUGUCUUUCCCCUUUGCAUUAGAGCAAUUAAAAGCACUCAUCAAGCCUCCCUGACCUGAUCAAUUUUAAUCUUUUGCCAAGAACUUGUUUCAAAACUCACGUUUUGAAAAAAAAAGAGUAGGGAUUGUAGGAAGUUAGCACCCAACCCUUUCCUGGAAGAGUGAAAUAUUUUAGAAAAUAUGAAAAAGGCAGAAAUAUGAGAAGCAUAUUUUACAGACAAAGCAGCUCCCAUCUUCCUGCCCCCCCACCCUUUGUCAAUGGGCCAUUAAGGCUUGGGCCAGUCUAUUCUACAUAACAAAGAUCUACCUCCUUCAGGCAGAGCCAUAGUAGGAAUUGCGAAAGAUAGGAUUAGCCCUCUACACAAUAGCAACAGAAACUAACACAAUGGGACCCAUCUAGACGAGGCUCACCACAUGGCACCUGGGAAGAUUGCAUCAGCCAGCAAGACCCCCACCCCCUGGGAGUCUGACAACCAAUCAGGAUACUCUUUCGUGGCCCCAAGAAAUGCAGAGCCAGCAAGAGCAUAAAAACCCGAAGAUUUACUGUAUCGCCCCUUUUCUGUUCAGGAACUCAAGCCAUGUGAUCCUGUCCACCAUUAAACCAUCUUUCCAAGCAGUCUCCAUGUUUCCAGUGUCUGUUUUCCCCACUUGGAGCAGAACCCAGAAGGAUGUUUCUUCCAACACUUCCUAAUAUGGGCAUCCCACAUUCAGUCAGGUCUGCCUCAUCACGUUUCAAGCAUUCUACAGGGAGCAAGGCCAGCUGAUGACCUCACUGAGCCCACAUAAAUACAUCACUUUCAAAGAA